AAUGUGCAUGGUUCCACUCUCGCCGUCCCUCAGCUCUGCAAAUCAUUUGCUUCAUUUUCUACAUGUCUUGGACUAAGCCUCACGUUGAAUUGAGGAGCUUCCCAGUGUAUUCGGAAACUGGUCCUUCUACGUUACCUUAAUCUACAUGUUUUUGUGUUUGGACAAAUGAGGAAAUGAUUCUGAUUUUUAUUGUUUUGGUAUAUUGGUUCAUGUUUGAGUGUGAAAAUAUUUGCAGGGUUAACCAUAAUCCGUUGUAGCUUCUUAAUAUUGAUUUGGA
Long non-coding RNA from Arabidopsis lyrata subsp. lyrata, 277 nucleotides. RefSeq lists it as uncharacterized. NCBI's taxonomy places the organism in Eukaryota, Viridiplantae, Streptophyta, Magnoliopsida, Brassicales, Brassicaceae. The transcript is spliced from 2 exons. The record is from RefSeq and is a predicted model, not a curated record.